UGACGGUACCUGACUAAGAAGCACCGGCUAAAUACGUGCCAGCAGCCGCGGUAAUACGGAAGGUCCGGGCGUUAUCCGGAUUUAUUGGGUUUAAAGGGAGCGUAGGCCGCCUGAUAAGCGUGUUGUGAAAUGUAACGGCUCAACCGUUGAACUGCAGCGCGAACUGUCGGGCUUGAGUGCGCAGGACGUAGGCGGAAUUCGUCGUGUAGCGGUGAAAUGCUUAGAUAUGUGAUAGAACCCCGAUUGCGAAGGCAGCUUACCAGCAUGUAACUGACGCUGAGGCACGAAAGCGUGGGGAGCAAACAGGAUUAGAUACCCUG
Molecule: ribosomal RNA, 320 nt
Filed under: uncultured bacterium
Lineage: Bacteria
Description: bacterial SSU rRNA
Rfam family: Bacterial small subunit ribosomal RNA
Source: RNAcentral